Struthio camelus australis is the source of this 2080-nucleotide non-coding RNA. NCBI's taxonomy places the organism in Eukaryota, Metazoa, Chordata, Aves, Struthioniformes, Struthionidae. The record is from RefSeq and is a predicted model, not a curated record.
AUAUUCUGAGACAGAAGGCUGCUACUUUUAAAGUCAUUUUGAGAAUUCAUAGCUGGCCCCUGCUUGCAUGCCGUCGCUGUUGCACGGGUGCGGCGGAGGCUGACCAGUGCUGCUGAGCUGACAGCGUGGGCCAGGUUUGACCAGCACCACUGUUUCCUCCAAACAGCCACCUUUUCCUUAGGACGCAAAGCACGCUUUUACGUGAUAGAAUGGAUGAACAGUCACAAGGCAUGCAGGGGCCUACAGCUCCACCGUUUCAGCCACAGAAAGCUUUGCGACCUGACAUGGGCUAUAAUACGCUUGCCAACUUCCGAAUAGAGAAAAAAAUUGGCCGUGGGCAAUUCAGUGAAGUUUACAGAGCAACCUGCCUGUUGGAUGGGGUACCAGUAGCGCUGAAAAAAGUUCAGAUAUUUGAUUUAAUGGAUGCCAAAGCCCGUGCUGACUGCAUCAAAGAAAUAGACCUUCUUAAGCAACUGAAUCAUCCAAAUGUAAUUAAAUAUUAUGCCUCAUUCAUUGAAGACAAUGAACUGAACAUAGUGUUGGAAUUGGCUGAUGCUGGAGAUCUCUCUAGAAUGAUAAAGCAUUUUAAGAAACAGAAGAGGUUGAUACCUGAAAGAACAGUUUGGAAGUACUUUGUUCAACUUUGCAGCGCACUGGAACAUAUGCAUUCUCGUCGUGUCAUGCAUAGAGAUAUAAAGCCAGCUAAUGUGUUCAUUACAGCUACAGGGGUGGUAAAGCUUGGAGAUCUUGGACUUGGACGAUUUUUCAGCUCCAAAACCACAGCUGCGCAUUCUUUAGUUGGUACACCUUAUUAUAUGUCUCCAGAGAGAAUACAUGAAAAUGGUUACAACUUCAAAUCUGACAUCUGGUCUCUAGGCUGCCUGCUGUAUGAGAUGGCUGCACUGCAGAGUCCCUUUUAUGGUGAUAAAAUGAACUUGUACUCCCUGUGCAAGAAGAUAGAACAGUGUGACUAUCCACCUCUCCCUUCAGAUCACUAUUCAGAGGAACUCCGACAAUUAGUUAAUAUGUGCAUCAACCCGGAUCCAGAGAAGCGACCAGACAUAACCUAUGUCUAUGAUGUAGCGAAACGUAUGCAUGCACACACUGCGAGCAGCUAAACAGACAUCAGAUCAUGAAGAAAAGAACAGAAAUAUUCAAAUGUAUAUGUUACAGUAGAUGCUACCUAUCUUGUGGACAGUUUACUGCUUCCAGUAGUUGAUUAUAGCAAUAGAAAGAGGCUUCAAACUGGACAGAAAUGGCCCCCAAGAUAGUGCAGAGAUGUUCUGGGAGUCCCUGCUUCCUCUCCACCUUCUAGAUGCUCAUUCUGUGCCUUCCCUGGGGCAUCUGCUGGGGGCACACCAGAGCCAUGGCUAAUAGAAACUUGGAAAAUAAGUAAUAACCUUGACACUAUCCUGUUUAUGCUCCUGUGAUGUCUUUUCUCAUCCUGUGAAUAGGAAAUCUGCCAUUUAACAAAUGGCUAGAAAGAUCUUUGCUAUUAAUGUACACUCAUUUUUUGCUCAUUACACAGUUUGUAUUAAAAAUGUGCGAUUGCUGUACGAAGCUCAUGAUUUGAUUUUAAAUAUAUAGCGUUGGUACUCCUCUGUGCACUUCGUUGCUUCGUUGCUUCUUUGCCUUCGCUAAUGCUGGACCAUUAUAAAGAUGAUCAUUACAGAUGAGUAUUGCGUUUUCCGGUAUAAGAUUUGGUUGGGAGAGGGGGCAGAAGGGAAGACGUAACUGAUAUGCUUGUGUUUGGCUGCUGAUUGUUUAAGUCGCAGAAUCAUUCAGGUUGGAAGGGACCUUGGGAGAGGUCUCUAGUCCAACCUCCUGCUCAGACUGGGUCAAUACUGAGUUCAGACCAGGUGGCUCAGGGCUCCUACCAGUUAGAUCUUGAAAACCGCCAAAGAUAGAGAUUCUGCAGCCUUUCUGGGCAGCCUGUUGCAAUGCGUAGCCAUCCUCAUAGCAAAUUUUUUCCCCUGUGUUCUGUCAGAACCUGCUCUGUUUCAAGUUACAACCAUUGUCUUUUGUUCUCCUGCCACUCCUGAGAUAUUCUUUGUUAUAAAAAAGGUAAGUCAAAUAUUGA